UCUCAUGUGUACAUUGAGACGUUUUGAACAUCUGAAAACAUCUCAUGUCUACAUAGAGACG
RNAcentral lists this microRNA precursor (61 nucleotides) under Octopus vulgaris (common octopus). Its description in RNAcentral is "Ovu-Mir-12572_pre stem-loop". RNAcentral also lists the same sequence under 1 other name. Lineage: Eukaryota; Metazoa; Mollusca; Cephalopoda; Octopoda; Octopodidae. The record is from RNAcentral.